UACGUAGGGGGCAAGCGUUGUCCGGAUUUACUGGGUGUAAAGGGCGCGCAGGCGGAUUGAUAAGUCAGAGGUGAAAUCCUGCAGCUUAACUGCAGAACUGCCUUUGAAACUAUCAAUCUUGAGUACGGAAGAGAGAGACGGAAUUCCAGGUGUAGUGGUGAAAUACGUAGAUAUCUGGAAGAACACCAGUUGCGAAGGCGGUCUCUUGGUCCGUUACUGACGCUCAGGCGCGAAAGCGUGGGUAGCAAACAGG
Molecule: ribosomal RNA, 253 nt
Filed under: uncultured Ignavibacterium sp.
Lineage: Bacteria; Pseudomonadati; Ignavibacteriota; Ignavibacteria; Ignavibacteriales; Ignavibacteriaceae
Description: partial 16S ribosomal RNA
Rfam family: Bacterial small subunit ribosomal RNA
Source: RNAcentral